This is a small nuclear RNA of Ochotona princeps (American pika), 108 nucleotides long. Lineage: Eukaryota; Metazoa; Chordata; Mammalia; Lagomorpha; Ochotonidae. The record is from Ensembl.
GUGCUCCCUUCAGCAGCACAUAUACUAAGACUGGAAUGAUACAGGGAAGAUUAGCAUGGUACCUGCACAAGGAUGACACAAAAAAGCUCACAGAAACUACACAAGGCU